RNAcentral lists this long non-coding RNA (6719 nucleotides) under Panax ginseng (ginseng). Its description in RNAcentral is "long non-coding RNA (PGIN_LNC012719)". The record is from RNAcentral. Lineage: Eukaryota; Viridiplantae; Streptophyta; Magnoliopsida; Apiales; Araliaceae.
CAAAUCCUUGUGUUUUAGACAAUCAUUGACUAAAGAGUUAUGAAUAAAAUUUAUUAGCAAGCGGGUCAGCGGGUGUUGUACUCACAGAGAUUUAGUGAGCAAAAGUUAUUUGCUCCCAUAAUUUAUAAGUGGAAUUUGCAAUUUGUCGUCUUUGUCAAGUGAAGCUGUUGAUCGAUUUUGCAAUAAAAACAUUCGUGCAAGUAUACACGGUCAACAAGUAAUAAAGUGAUAAGAAAAGUAUCGUUCCCACGAGGAAUUAUUUAAUAAAAAUCACCAGUAUUAGUUCUUAACCAAACUAAUUUUAUUUAAACAAUCAAUUUAGGGUUUUGAAUUAAAUUAUUUAAUUAAACUAAUUCUAAUAACCACUAGUUAAAAAUUAAAUUAUGGAGAUUUAAGAUCACAACUUCACUUAUUACUUCACUUAUAUUAAAACACUUCUUAUUAAUUAUGCUCACUAUUCUGGAUUGUUAAUCAGGAACUUAUUAGUAUUUAUAACCACCUUCCGAUGCAUCACAACAUAUUAAUCCAAAUCCACAGUUGAUAGAAUUGAAUCAAACACCCUAAUUAACUAAUUCACUAUAUUCCUAUGUGAAUUACAAUUAAAAAGGAUUUAAAGUACAUGUUCCCUAUCAGAUUACACGCGGCGUAAAGGCAUAUCCCUAUCCUAAACACAAAUCAUGAAUUCCAACACUAUACAGAAAACACAAUCACAUGCUACUAUGAUCAGAUCUAAUUCUAUAUUUCAUCUCCCGAAUCCAUAUAGAUUAUCAUGGUAAUUGUUAAACAAUUAAACACAAUCAUAACAGACAAUUCAUAGAAUAGAUCUCAGUAAUUAACAGAGAAACAUACUAAAAUAAGCAAUGCAAUAAGAUCCAUUGUAAUCUUAAAUAAAAGAUUUAGUUCAUGAUUAAUGAAUUAAAAUCAAGAAUCCACAACUGAAUAGACAUUAAAAGAUAAAAGUAUGAUAAGAGAAGAGAAUAUAAUUUGUUGUCAGCAAAUUUGAUGCUCCCCUCUUGCUCCUGUUCUUGAUCUUCAAUGAUCUUCAAGUUGCUUCAAUAUCCAACAAUCCAAUAUAAACUAGGGUUUAUAUUCUAAUCUAUUGGAGUGUUUUUUCUAAUCUAAUCUAUCUCAUCCCCCUUUAUUUUCUGCCUUACAUCAUGUAUUUAUAGGUUACAAGUCCAACUUUUAACUUAGGAACAAACCCAAUCCAAUUUAGAGUAAAAAAAAGUGCCAAAAUUCGCCCCAAAACGCGUCUAAACUUGACCAGACCCUUCCCCAGCACCCCAGUGCUGUUCACGACGCUGCACCACUGCCACCUACCGCCCCGACGCUGGGAAUAGGCUUGAAAUGGGCGCCCCCGCGCUGGCCUCUUUUCCGGAAAUUUUCUGCUCUGACGUCCUUUGGGAAAAUGACCAUAACUUCUUCGUCGGAGCUCCGAUUUUGAUGAUUCAAGAUGUUCCGGAAAGAGGAGACGUAAAUCUACAACUUUCAUUCUUUAAGUUUUUCGAAAUAAGGUCCAUAGAAAUGUUGAAAUUGGCCCUGAAGUAGCUGCUAUGUAAAUGGCAAGCCGAAAAUGCGAAUCUAGUAACCCCAAAAGUCGAUCCAAGUAACUUUUGUCCCAAUUCCUACAAAACAACGUAAAACAUGCAUGAAUAGACACAAACACUUAAAAACAUCCAAAAGAUUAAGCUUAAACGCACACAAUUCAUGAGUAUAAAACUCACUCAUCAAAUACCCCCAAACUUAAACAUUUGCUUGUCCUCAAGUAAAAACACAAUUUUGAAAAAUUCAGCCUCUGGAAAUGAUCCACCCAAACAAUGAAUCAAUAUGAAUUCGCAUAAUGGCUUUAAAGGUUACAACAAAUGUUAACCUGCAGAAAAUUUCAAAAUAAUGUCAUGUCUAAAAUUUCAACACUUUCAUUAGCUUCACAGUUACUCAUGAUCCUUUAAGUGCGUGUGUGCAUCCAUCCAUAUGUUCAAACUAGUCAUAAUUUAGUUAAGAUCAACCAAAACUCAUAAAAGAUUUUCAACAACAACUCUCAAAAUUUCUUAUCACAUCAAUCACCGUUAAACUAGACAAAGCACAAUUUUUUUUCUUAAGGAUCAACCGGAUAUUCAAACUUUGAAGCACAUAUGAACCCUUCCCAAAUAUUUUAAACAUACAUAUUUUUUUUCUCUAUUUAGUGAGUGCGUUUUACGCUCCAUCUCACUUUUCACUUUUCAUUGAACGAGUGCGUUUUACGCUCCAUCUCGUUUUUCACUUUUCAUUGAACGAGUGCGUUUUACGCUCCAUCUCGUGCCUGUGUUUAUGGGGAGUGUGUUUUACGCUACAUCUCGACCCACCACACGCUUCAAUUAUUCAACUCGGGAAGGUUCCAAUAUUUUUUUUUCAAAAAUACCCCAAGAUUUCCCCCAAACUUAUGUGAGUGCCUAAUUUUCACGAAUGAUGCUUAAAUAAGAUUUCUCAAGUUGCAAUGGUAUCUUUCAUAAGCAUUUAGCCAAAAAAAUUCAAUCCUAACUGGCUAAACAAAUGGAUGUGUAAACUUUUUCAAAAAUUUCGCUAGUAAUGUGAAAACUAACUAAUAAGUUAAAAUAUAGACUAAGCAUGCUCAUCAAUUCUCCAAGAGUUAACAAUAUCAACCACCCACUUAUCAUUGGCCAAAAUCAAAUUCCAUCAAAACAUUGCCCAAGUAAAUACUAAACAUGAUAAAUACCCCCAAACUUAAAACAGACAUUGUCCUCAAUGGCUAAUGUUAACGCCAAGAUCUUCUCCAACGUCUCAAUCACGUAAGACGCCCUGAUCCUGUACAGUAAACACGAUAAACACCACAAGCUUGACGACCGGACCGCCGGGGGAUAGCUCAGGCGUGAGAGUAAGUAUACGUGUUCACAAGGUUAACAAUGAAGGAUGUAAUGCCUAGUGUAUUGAGAGAGAUAAUAAUUCUCAGUGUGUAUGUGUGUAUAUGAAUGUGAACGCCUAUGAAAACGUACCUGUUUGUGAAGACUUAGUUGAUAGGUUAUACUCUCUUUGCCCGGUUUACCGUGCUACCCACUACCUCUGACACAGCCCCCAUGAUCUGAUGGGUCCUGCCGUCUGCCUGCAGUCUACUCACUACCUUUGGUUACUGUUUAUGCCGCUGGCCGGCUAUAAUCCCAUCCACAUUAAUGCAUGGCAGGUGUCCCAAUCAACUGUCAUGCUCUUUCAUCAUUACAAGUCAAAGUAAUAGAUAUUAAAUGAUCCAAUGGGUUAAUCCAACGAACCGACCUGGUUUUAUAGGGUUAAAUAGAAAUAACAUGGUGAUUAGGCCCAGCGACUUUCAAGGCUCAAUAAUAAAGGCCCAAUGGAUUAAUUUAAUAAGUGAGCCCAACUUACUCGGCCCAAAGAAGGGAAAUAUCAUGACCCAACAUUGCCCCCUAGUUUUUUGUUGAACAGAAUGUUUAAUAGAAAAUUAUAAAUGGUCCAUGAUAUUAGAAUUUACUAAAGGCCCAUAACAGGAAGUAAUUGAGACAUACCCAAUUUGGUGCAUAAGAUGAGACGGGGAAUGGCCGGAUGUCCAGAGUAAAAGGCCCAGUUAAUAAAUGAUUGAAAUUGAAACAGAUGGCCCAAAAACCGGAAAUCCAACCGAAAGGCCCAAUCUGAUAAAAUAUCUAAGGAUUGAUCCGGACGCUUCCCAUUCGAAUUCUCAUCAUUACUAACAUUUAACGUGCCGGCCUCGUACACCGUGUAACCGUCAGUAUAAAAGAUAAACUUUACCAAUUUUGACGGUUUUACCUGCCAAUUUGAACUUUGAACUUUUGAGCUUUCUUCUCCUUCCCAGAACUUCUUUCUCUGUCUUACGAAAUCUCAACAAUGGUGACUGUGAGCUCUAGCCAGAAUUCUCCUCUUCGCGUGACUCCCGUUAGCACUGUUUCCCCCAAUCCAAACCCUAACCAAGAGGGUUCGAGUUCAAAUCCUCAAUCCACAGUAACCAUGGGGAAGAAUCCACCCCUGGUUCCUUCUCUGCCUCCUUCCGACUUCUUCAAGGAUGGGGAACUGUUUUCUCAUGCCAAUAUUCCCUCUACUGUUACGGAAUCUGAGAUACGUAUCCUUCGGACUCGCUAUCAGAUUUCGGAUAUGUAUGCUAUAAGGGCUCCCGCUCCUGAAGAGCGCAUGUACUAGCGACCGGAUGGUUGGGUCGCUAUGCCAGUUACUUUCCUUGAAAAGGGGAUUCGUCUACCCCUCCAUGCUUUCGUCGUUACCCUCCUAGGGUUCAUAGGAGUGGGUUUUACCCAGUUGGUGCCCAAUUCCUAUAUCCACAUCCUGGCAUUCAUUGCCUUCUGUCAUGAAUUAGGGAUUCCUCCCUCUGUCGACAUCUUCUUCACCCUCUUCUCAGCCGGUAGGUCCCGAGAACGAGGUUUCAAAAUGUUGAGCAAACAGUCUCCUCGUCCCAACUCCAAAUUUGAGAAGAGAUCCCUGAUGGAUACCCCUUCAAGCAACAAGGGUUGGCACGAAAAAUAGUUUUUUGUUACGGGACCAGAAAUCUCUUCUCUUCCAGAUUGGACUAUCUCAGAUCCGAAGAGCGUGUGAAGGAGAUGACAGAUUUUUUGAAGAAGAUUCCUCCAAAGGAAUGGAGUUUUGCACUUCUGACCAAGCAAGCCUGGCUAUAUGACCACAAAUGUAAGUUUCGAACAACUUUGUAACAUAGUUUUUUGAGAUAUUUAAGUGACAUGGGUUCUGAUAUAUGGUUAUCUGCAGUGUCUCUGAUCAAACCAACUUCUUCGGAAGUAAAAGAACUGGGAGACUUUUUGGCAGGGAAGAUUACGGAUGCGAGUGAAGAGUCUCCUACCGAAGAAUCUUCCCGAGCCGAUCCCCCCGUCACCGAUCCACCAACCGCUUCUCUUCAGAAUGAUGAACCCCAAACUGAUGAACCCAUCGUUCCCGAAGAAUCCCUCAGACCUCGCCGAAGGAAAAGAGCCGCCAAGAAAUCCAAAUCCACCCAUCCGGAAACAAAUCCGGAAAGUGACCCGGAAAUCAUUCCCGAAGCAAUUCCACAAGCAACCCCUUCAUCCAACCCUAGCUCUGCACCUUCCGAAUCUGCCCCCAUUAAGAGGAGCUUCCUUGACAUACCUCUACACGAUCGGGCGAAGGUCCUUCGUGCUAAGAAGAUAAGGACGAAGAUUACUCCUUUGACUGCCGAUGAGUUCCGAGUUCCAUCGUCUUCGACUGUCAUUCCCCCAAUAGUCCCAACUGAAAUUCAGACACCUGAUGAUGAGCUGGACAAAAUUUUCUCCAAAUUUGAAUGUUCCUCCUGUUGUAGUGGAGAUGGACACGAGAAAUCCGGUGGGUAUGUUGGACUUGGAGCAUAAAAUUAAUCUUGAUGAGUAUGGCUCCAUGAAAAAUCUGGGUGAUACCCCCAAUCCUGAUAAUAGUUGUUGGGAUACACAUAAUUCUUGGGGUAAUCACAACCAUACAGUACCGGCUCGAAAUUGGUGGUGCAUUGAUGAAUCAGAUGAUUUCUAGCACAAUAAUCACAAGUAACCGCCACACUUUGACGACGUUGUGCUGCAAAAGCGUCUAACCUCCUUGAAAGUGUCUCAAUCUGUGCUGACAAUGCAGAAAGUGUCGUGAGUCCAUCAAUCUCUGCUCCCCUUGGCUGAGUCAUUCUCGUAUACGGCCAUUGAUAAUUAAAUUCUGCCAUGGUACCUGAAAAGAAUGAAAAAUAAUAGAAAGAGAAUUAAAUAAGACAAGAAUAAAUUAAAAAAACGUUUAAAUUAAAACUAAAUUGAUAAAAAAUAAUAUUGGCAAAUAUUAUUAAAUUAAUUCUCCUGCAACGGCGUCAAAAACUUGUUGAUCGAUUUCGCAAUCAAAACAUUCGUGCAAGUAUACACGGUCAACAAGUAAUAAAGUGAUAAGAAAAGUAUCGUUCCCACGAGAAAUUAUUUAAUAAAAAUCACCAAGUAUUAGUUCUUAACCAAACUAAUUUUAUUUAAACAAUCAAUUUAGGGUUUUGAAUUAAAUUAUUUAAUUAAACUAAUUUUAAUUACCACUAGUUAAAAAUCAAAUUAUGGAGAUUUAAGAUCACAACUUCACUUAUAUUAAAACUCUUCUUAUUAAUUAUGCUCACUAUUCUGGAUUGUUAAUCAGGAACUUAUUAGUAUUUAUAACCACCUUCCGAUGCAUCACAAACAUAUUAAUCCAAAUCCACAAUUGAUAGAAUUGAAUCAAACACCCUAAUUAACUAAUUUCUAUGUGAAUUACAAUUAAAAAGGAUUUAAAGUACAUGUUACCUAUCAGAUUACACGCGGCGUAAAGGCAUAUCCCUAUCCUAAACACAAAUCAUGAAUUCCAACACCAUGCAGAAAACACAAUCACAUGUUAUUAUGAUCAGAUCUAAAUCUAUAUUUCAUCUCCCGAAUCCAUAUAGAUUAUCAUGGUAAUUGUUAGCUAGACAAGUAAACAACUAAACACAAUCAUAACAGACAAUCCAUAGAAUAGAUCACAGUAAUUAACAAAGAAACAUACUAAAAUAAGCUAUGCAAUAAGAUUCAUUGUAAUCUUAAACAAAAGAUUUAGUUCAUGAUUAAUGAAUUAAAACUAAGAAUCCACAACUGAAUAGACAUUAAAAGAUAAAAGUAUGAUAAGAGAGGAGAAUAGAAUCUGUUGUCAGCAAAUCUGAUGCUACCCUCUUGCUCCUGCUCUUGAUCUUGAUCUUCAAUGAUCUCCAAGUUGCUUCAAUAUCC